GAAAAGGCAAACCCGCUGAAAAACGGGGACGCACAGCCACGGGUCUAAAGCUGAGAGGCCAGGACAGCCGGGUCACCGA
Molecule: non-coding RNA, 79 nt
Filed under: marine eukaryotic metagenome
Description: Cyclic di-GMP-I riboswitch
Rfam family: c-di-GMP-I riboswitch aptamer
About the family: GEMM was predicted in a large-scale screen for bacterial structured RNA regulatory elements. Genes associated with GEMM are involved in a diverse array of functions, including chemotaxis regulation, signal transduction, secretion and chitin.
Source: RNAcentral